Xenia sp. Carnegie-2017 is the source of this 1473-nucleotide long non-coding RNA. RefSeq lists it as uncharacterized. Lineage: Eukaryota; Metazoa; Cnidaria; Anthozoa; Malacalcyonacea; Xeniidae. The record is from RefSeq and is a predicted model, not a curated record. The transcript has 3 exons.
CUACGGUUUUCAGCCUCGUAUCGACUGUAUCAUGUCACAAACUAGACGUGAAGAGAUUCAGCGUCAUAACGAGGAGGUUGAUGAGGCAACUGAUGUUUCUACCAAAGAACUAUUCGGUGUAAUUGUUCGAAUGAACAAAGGGGAAAGUGUCAUUGAAAGACAGCUUGGGUUUGUUGAUGUCAGUUGUGAUAGGACUGCGACUGCUAUAUCAUCAGUAGUUAAGGUAAGUUAAGUCAAUACAAUAAUGUGAAAGAGAAAUUUAUUGGACAGACUUAUGAUGGUGCAUCUGUUAUGUCUGGUCAUCUCAAUAGUGUUCAAGCUCAAGUUCAGCAGGAUUAUCCUUAUGCUCAAUUUGUUCACUGUGCUGCCCAUAGACUAAAUCUAGUAUUAUGUCAAGCUGCAUCCUCCAUCUCACCUGUUAAGAUUUUCUUUGUUAAUAUUAGUGCUUUCUGCACCUUUACUAGCAAUUCCCCCCAAAAGAAAAGCUUUACUAUCAUCCCAUAGGCUUGAGUUUCCUAUUCAUGGUGACACAAGAUGGUAUUAUAGGGCUCAUGUCAUCAAUGUCUUGCAUUUUAACUAUGAGAAACUGGUAGACAUAUUUGAAAAUCUUACUGAUAAUCCAAUAGGUUGGGAUGAUGAAACGUUAAGUAAGGUUACUGGUUUACUUGGCUACCUUAAUGGCUUCUUGUUUUGUUUCUUGGUACAUGUUUUCCAGAGAAUUCUUGAGCAGUCAUCCAUACUUUAUUCUAUCUUGCAAGACAAGGACACUGUUGAAUAAGUGGGACCACCAGUAACCAGGGUAUUUAAGAUUUGGAAAGGUGAAGUGCCCUCAGAAAAGAUUAAUCUUCUAAAGGAGGUUUAUGGUGAUAUGUUUGACAUACCAAUGCUAGUUAGCCAACUUUCUUUUAUUUACAGAGAUAAAGACUUUCACUGUGAUUCAUGUGAUGAAUUAUUGAAAUAUAUUUUUCAGUUCCAUUAUCAAUGUAGUAUUCCAGAAAUUGUAAAACUGUUAAAGAUAAAUGGGGUUUUGUCAAUUACAAGUGCUUCAGUUGAGAGGUCAUUUUAUUGUUUGAAGAGGGUAAAAAAUUAUCUUAGAAAUACUAUGAGCCAAGGACGUUUUAGUUCUCUUUGCAGGAUUUCCAUUCACAAAGACAUACUGUCAGAGAAAGAAGACGCCAACACAUUGCAUGAUGAGGUAGUAAAGAAGUUCAUUGAAAAACCACGAAGACUAGCUUUCUUAUACAAAUAGGUAUACAUAUAUGGCUGAUAGCAAGCUGAUGAUGUCUUACGUCCAUGGCAUGUGAGAAUUUUUCCGGGAACUUUUUAAUGCAGUCAAUGAUGAUUGUCAUUUCAGCACGACAAUUUCAUCACAACUUUUGAUAGUUGUUGAUGACAAAUCUGAGCCUUUUUCGGUUCUUUUGUCAAAGUUUCUUUACAAGAUGUACAUAGGUAUCUAUUUAUGUAUGUAGUGUU